This 4648-nucleotide unclassified non-coding RNA is filed under the name Manduca sexta (tobacco hornworm). RNAcentral describes it as "dorsal-ventral patterning protein Sog, transcript variant X1". Lineage: Eukaryota; Metazoa; Arthropoda; Insecta; Lepidoptera; Sphingidae. The record is from RNAcentral.
UCGCUCGUCUCAGUCUGGCUCAGCCGUCGCGCUACAACGACGCUUGCGAGACGCGCGCUACAAUCGCGAACUUGCGCUCGUUGCACCACUCGUUCGUACGGAGCGCGCGCGGCGAAAAUAGUGAGCUCGUGGCCGGGAGCGGCUGGACCCCGGUGAGAGGACAAGUGUUCAGCGGCGGUAUGUUGCCCGCGCUGUUGGUGCUGGCGCUGGCGGCGCUGGCCCCGGCCGUCGCGCGCCGCCACGCGCCCUACCUGCAUGAGGACGAGCCCGCGCGCCGCACCACUCGACCCGCCGAAUGUCUAUUCGGGAAGCAAGCAAAGGAGCUAGGGUCCAAGUGGUUUGCGGACCUGGGCCCGCCGUUCGGAGUCAUGUACUGCAUCAAAUGUGAGUGUGUACCGGUGCAAAAGAAAAGGCGCGUGGUUGCUAAGGUGUCCUGUCGUAAUAUCAAGAAUGAGUGUCCCGAACCCACUUGCGAUACACCGGAGCUGCAGCCAGGAAGAUGUUGCAAGACUUGCCCAGGCGAUAUUAAUUCGCCCGACAUCGUCCAAGAAGACAGUCCGGUGGUUUACACUGCUGAAGAAGACGAGCACAAUAUGAAGUAUUUCGCUUCGAUUCUGACUGGUCGGUCUCCGCUUUGUGUAAGGCGUGAUGACAUGUCCGGGGUGCCGGUGGGGCCGGGGGUCGCGACGGCCCGGUUCACGUUCCGGCGCCGCCAUCUUUACUGGUCGGUGCUGCUGAGCCCCUCGAUCUCAGCGCAGCCUCGAGCACUUGCCUUUCUCGAUCGCAUAGGCCGAGUGCUACUCGAGCAACCUCUCAAGAAAAUACCAGGCAUUCAUUCAACUUAUGAAGAAAAAACUGAUAAGCUGUGCGGCGUAUGGCGCCGAGUACCUCGUCAAUAUAAAACACUGUUACGAGACGGAGACCUCCACGUGGCUCUGUUGUGGGGAGAUGAUCGCAACAGUACAAUAGACAGCGCUUUGAGCGGCCGAAUCGACAGAUAUCCAGCACUUUCAUCUGAGAUGUUUACUACAUUACUAGAACCUGAACAUCCGCCCACAUCGUUCGGACAGGGAGCUUGCAGAGAUUAUAGAGCGGUAGACCAUGAAGAUGGUUGGUGGGGUGGCACUGCAGUCAUCACCGGAGUCGCAGGCGCAACACCUAGCCUUUACUUAGCCCUUAUGUUUAACGGAGUGUUUCCAAAAACGGCAGCGACAUCACAUCUCGUCAGAGUGGUUCUCACUUUGCCGGAAAAAAACCAGACGAUCAUUGAUCAGGUACAGAGAGUGAACAAGCCAAAUUACGACUUCAACGUCCUUGAAGUGUCAACUCCGGUUUCGGCGGCUGAGUUACGUUCUCUUGCUAGGGGACGGUUACUCCUUACUGUGGAAGCUGUAGAUACACCAGAACGGCGUCUGGUGGGAAGUGUGAGACAGAAAGCAGCUUGCGAGGUUUAUCAUGCACCGCUGGUGUCAGAAAGAGCUCCGGCUUCACCGGCACCGGAAGGACUUGCCUUGAUCUACAUUGAUAAAGAGGGCUCGCUUGUCUAUGAUAUACAGAUGGAUAACCUGAGUGUGAACGAUCCGAAGAUAACAUUAGUGGAGGAGCAAGGCAAGCGGCAUUCACAAGUGGAGAUACUGGACACUCGUAUCGGUGUGCUAGCGCGGCCUAGUGCUCGGAUUUUCCAACCACUCUAUGAAGAUACUCUAGCUGUUCAUGUUAGUGGGGAUGCAGGACCUCCUAUACUUCGCGGUCGGCUGACGUCCCGUUUGAUGCCUGAUGCUGCAGGUUCUGGACCUGCAUUGUUACGCAGAACUUCUCAAGUUCGAGUGCCUAUGACUAUGGCAGGACUCGCUUGGCUCUCAGUGGAUUCUUUAUGUGGCUUGUAUUACGAGGCGGUGGUAACGGGUGGUAACUCUCGAACCAAGUCCUCCUGGUGGUUAGAGACGCACGCAGGCGGGGAAGGCAAUGCGCGUGAACUAGGCGCUGAUGAAGGUUGGAUACUGGAGCCUACAGCGGCAGAGCUGGUCGCUCUACACGUUGGCGCUGCUUAUCUGGAAUUACGAUCCCAUGAUAAUGUCACGGCACUACUGCGCACGCGCGUACCACAAAUAAGCGUGCCACCAUCAUGCUUACCUGCGGUCCCGGGGACCACAGACAACGAGCUAAGUGCCAAGUACACGCCAGGACCUUUGGAAGACCAGUUAUCUGACGCGCUGUACCGCCUCAGCGUGGGCUACUGUAAACAGGGCGAGAAGUUUUACAAGCUAGGAGAAAUUUGGACUGAUACUGAGUCAUGCUCCAAGUGCUCUUGCGUGCUUGGUAUGCCACGAUGUGAGCCGGUGCAGUGUCCCCAAGUCACUUGUCUCGUGCCUACGAUACAGCCACCUGGACAAUGCUGCCCAAUAUGCACUAAUUCAACAUCAGCAAAAUGGACAGAAGAAGGCAGUUGCACGCUGGCGGGACAGACUUACGCACCAGGAUCGUCAUGGCAUCCGUACUUAGUACCAGGAGGAUACGACACCUGUGCGAUAUGCACGUGUAACUUUGCCACUAAGCAGAUCCAGUGCCCACGAGUCCAGUGUCCGCCCUUACGCUGCAGUGAGAAGGAAGCGUACAGACCGGAUAAGAAAGCCUGUUGCCGAGUUUGUCCUGAGGCCAAAGCCAAAAAACCUGACGAAGAGACACCUAAAGAUCAGGGAACACCUAGAACAGCUGAAGAAAUUCUGGCGGAAGGUGGAUGUAAAUUCCCUGACGGACCGCUACCAAAUGGAAAAGAAGUCCAUCCUUCGAUACAUUCGCACGGAGAACAGAGAUGUGUCACUUGCAGAUGCAAGGACGGUGAAGUAACAUGUGUCCGAAAGCGGUGCGGGCGCGCUGCGUGCUCGCGGCGGCGACGCGUGGACGCGUGCUGCGUGUGUACGCGACACCGACGGCAGCGCGCGCCGCGUCCUGACCGCGCGCAGCGCACGGAACGCUCGGAACGCUCAGAACGCCUAGUGCGUUUAGAUCGCUUACAGCGCUCUGACCGCUUGGCCCCGCCGCCUCCGAGCUGAGCGCGCCGCGGUUGAGUGCAUGCACUCGCCGGACACAGUAUUACUGCGCCCGACCAUCCCGUCUUCACCCCAGACUGCUCGUAGGCUAAGUGAGUGAGCGCUCCGCUCCCUAGACUGACGAUUAUUUUUAUGUACGCGUGCGAUACGAAAGUGUCUCUAGUUUUAGGUUGCGUCGUCGGAACACGCGCCACUGGACAGGACCACAUUUGCGGGUGAUACAUUUGUGGCAAACUUAUUGUCACCUGGUUCGGUAUAAUGCGUACGUUUGACUAAAAUGUUGAGAACAAGUUGUGUGGUAGAUUUUCCAUCUCUGGUGUUGGGGAUUUGCCGUUGUAGUUAGAGCGUGUAGUUCUGUUCGGUAGCGUUGUGAGACGAACGUAUCGAUACAGUAGGCGGUAGGACGGUCGGCCGCGCAACGGCUCUGAGUCGAUCGAUGACGGAAGUAGCUAUACUGUGUAUUAAUAAACUUUGAAUAUAUACUUACCCACCGGUAUUUAAUUGGUAUUAUGAGAUAUCCCGAAAUUUUAUAGGCGCAUUGCAUUUUCAUCCGAUACUGAUUUGUUUUUAGUAUUUAUUAGUCGUGUAAGGUUCGAUCGCUCGGUGAGAUAUCUUUAGAGGUGCGAGCGCGGUCGAUGAAAGAUGUGCCAUAUUUUCUUAAUUGUAAAUAUAAAUUAUGAUACUACUUAUGUGCAUAUUUAUUUACAUGUUUAUUGUAUAUGAUACGAGGUAAUCCCGCGUAUACACGGUCGCGUACGAUACAUCACAAACAUUCAUGUACUGUUCGCCAUGUUUGUGCAUUUGCUUUAGUUUUGUAUAAACAUACUUAGUGGCUUGCACGUGUUAUUAAUGUGCAUGUGUAAUGAUUCGAUAGUGCUUAUUUCCUAUGUUAAUUUAUAUGCAUAGUCAAUAAUUGUGUAGAAUCUGUAUUGGCUUCAGAUAUGAGUCUGUAGAGAGAAAUAUGUUACAUUGUAUGUAAUCUUACUUAUAUGUACGUGAAAACUAAUAUCUCGAGUAACUUAUGUUUGUGGUUAUGCUAUCAGGGUGUCAACACGAUACUCUUAAUUAAUCUGUAAAUAUUAACGUAUGUUUUAAAAUGUUAUGCUUUACACAAGUAAUAUAAACGGACUGUACGAUAAAUAUAUUAUAAUACAUUAUAAUAAGGCGUAGAUUUUAAUAAAUUUUCGUGACUAGUUUUGAUUAAUUACUAGUUUAACGGUUUAGUUACGUAAUUAAGGAAGCUAGUCCAAAUGUUUUGAUGUGAUGGAAAUGAAUGCCAUGUAACUAGCGAUACUUCUGUCUUGAUUACUGAUAUAAGAUUUAUGUACUGUAAGUGGCGGCCUCACGCGGUGUGGAAAGCGAAUUAGGUAUUUGUUAGAGACGGUGAGACGCCCGGGUAUUGCGCGGGCGCUACUGGGCGUUUACAGGACUGACUGAAGUAAAACGCCAAAGUUUUAAAAUUCAUGUAGAGGUGAGGCUUGGCAUAUUUAAUCGUGAUUUCGCGACUUAAAAGGAUUUGACGGUUUCGUGGGACAUUGCCAAAAAUAUAUUUUGUGAAUGGAAUUUCUCUUUUCGUUGUGGAUUCUAGUCCAUCAAAA